AGCGGCGAACGGGUGAGUAACACGAAGGUGAUCUGCCCAUCAGACGGGGACAACGAUUGGAAACGAUCGCUAAUACCGGAUAGGACGAAAGUUUAAAGGUGCUUCUGGCACCGCUGAUGGAUGAGCCUGCGGCGCAUUAGCUAGUUGGUAGGGUAAAGGCCUACCAAGGCAACGAUGCGUAGCCGACCUGAGAGGGUGAACGGCCACACUGGGACUGAGACACGGCCCAGACUCCUACGGGAGGCAGCAGUAGGGAAUCUUCGGCAAUGGGCGAAAGCCUGACCGAGCAACGCCGCGUGAAUGAUGAAGGCCUUCGGGUUGUAAAAUUCUGUUAUAAGGGAAGAACGACUUUAGUAGGAAAUGGCUAGAGUGUGACGGUACCUUAUGAGAAAGCCACGGCUAACUACGUGCCAGCAGCCGCGGUAAUACGUAGGUGGCGAGCGUUAUCCGGAAUUAUUGGGCGUAAAGAGCGCGCAGGUGGUUGAUUAAGUCUGAUGUGAAAGCCCACGGCUUAACCGUGGAGGGUCAUUGGAAACUGGUCGACUUGAGUGCAGAAGAGGGAAGUGGAAUUCCAUGUGUAGCGGUGAAAUGCGUAGAGAUAUGGAGGAACACCAGUGGCGAAGGCGGCUUCCUGGUCUGUAACUGACACUGAGCGCGAAAGCGUGGGGAGCAACAGGAUUAGAUACCCUGGUAGUCCACGCCGUAAACGAUGAGUGCUAAGUGU
RNAcentral lists this ribosomal RNA (724 nucleotides) under uncultured bacterium. RNAcentral describes it as "bacterial SSU rRNA". It matches the Rfam family "Bacterial small subunit ribosomal RNA", at positions 94 to 823 of the family's 1533-position model. The record is from RNAcentral.